Long non-coding RNA from Bombus terrestris (buff-tailed bumblebee), 199 nucleotides. RefSeq lists it as uncharacterized. The record is from RefSeq and is a predicted model, not a curated record. Lineage: Eukaryota; Metazoa; Arthropoda; Insecta; Hymenoptera; Apidae. The transcript is spliced from 2 exons.
CCAUUACUAAUUACUGACCUAAGAAGUUUAUUGUUACUAUUACAAUAUUAAAUAUCUUUGUUAAAAUUAUAAAAAGCGGAAGAUAACCUUUGUUAAACGAAAAGACACGUAACGAUCAUAGGCGAUGAAUAGGCGGAAAUAUGGUAUUGCUUGCAUAAGAAUCCGCUAUUCGGAGACUAUACCCGAACGUUUAUCUGAG